Molecule: non-coding RNA, 22 nt
Filed under: Mus musculus (house mouse)
Lineage: Eukaryota; Metazoa; Chordata; Mammalia; Rodentia; Muridae
Also listed under: 1 other name
Source: RNAcentral
UCAGUGCAUGACAGAACUUUGU